UACGGGGGGGGCAAGCGUUGUUCGGAAUUACUGGGCGUAAAGGGCGCGUAGGCGGUUCGCUAAGUUGGAUGUGAAAACUCUGGGCUCAACCCAGAGCCUGCAUCCAAAACUGGCGGGCUAGAGUUCUGGAGGGGGUAGCGGAAUUCCUGGUGUAGCGGUGAAAUGCUUAGAUAUGACAUAGAACACCAAUUGCGUAGGCAGCUUACUACACGAUCAUUGACGCUGAGGCACGAAAGCGUGGGGAGCAAACAGG
This 253-nucleotide ribosomal RNA is filed under the name uncultured bacterium. RNAcentral's name for it is "partial 16S ribosomal RNA". It matches the Rfam family "Bacterial small subunit ribosomal RNA", at positions 524 to 776 of the family's 1533-position model. The record is from RNAcentral.